UAUCCGUUGGUGUACCAGCGGAGGGAUCAUUACAGGACUCGCAAGACUCCUACAACCCUGUGAACUUAACUAUAAGCACGUUGCUUCGGCGGGUGUCUCGGAGGGGGUUCUCCCUCCCCGAGACGCUAAACCCGCCGGCAGCCUACUAUACUCUGUCUCUUUGCGUUGGCAUCUCGAGUACAAUCAAACAAGUUAAAACUUUCAACAACGGAUCUCUUGGUUCUG
This 225-nucleotide unclassified non-coding RNA is filed under the name plant metagenome. Its description in RNAcentral is "partial contains small subunit ribosomal RNA, internal transcribed spacer 1, and 5.8S ribosomal RNA". The record is from RNAcentral.